RNAcentral lists this ribosomal RNA (253 nucleotides) under uncultured bacterium. RNAcentral describes it as "partial 16S ribosomal RNA". It matches the Rfam family "Bacterial small subunit ribosomal RNA", at positions 524 to 776 of the family's 1533-position model. The record is from RNAcentral.
UACGUAGGGUGCGAGCGUUAAUCGGAAUUACUGGGCGUAAAGCGUGCGCAGGCGGUUUUGUAAGCCAGAUGUGAAAGCCCCGGGCUCAACCUGGGAAUGGCAUUUGGGACUGCAAGGCUGGAGUGUGGCAGAGGAGACUGGAAUUCCUGGUGUAGCAGUGAAAUGCGUAGAUAUCAGGAGGAAUACCGAUGGCGAAGGCAGGUCUCUGGGCUGACACUGACGCUCAUGCACGAAAGCGUGGGGAGCAAACAGG